CCUACGGGAGGCAGCAGUGAGGAAUAUUGGUCAAUGGACGAGAGUCUGAACCAGCCAAGUAGCGUGAAGGAUGACUGCCCUAUGGGUUGUAAACUUCUUUUAUAUGGGAAUAAAAUGUUCCACGUGUGGGAUUUUGUAUGUACCAUAUGAAUAAGGAUCGGCUAACUCCGUGCCAGCAGCCGCGGUAAUACGGAGGAUCCGAGCGUUAUCCGGAUUUAUUGGGUUUAGAGGGAGCGUAGGUGGAUUGUUAAGUCAGUUGUGAAAGUUUGCGGCUCAACCGUAAAAUUGCAGUUGAAACUGGCAGUCGUGAGUACAGUAGAGGUGGGCGGAAUUCGUGGUGUAGCGGUGAAAUGCUUAGAUAUCACGAAGAACUCCGAUUGCGAAGGCAGCUCACUGGACUGCAACUGACACUGAGGCUCGAAAGUGUGGGUAUCAAACAGGAUUAGAUACCCCAGUAGUC
This 460-nucleotide ribosomal RNA is filed under the name uncultured bacterium. RNAcentral's name for it is "partial 16S ribosomal RNA". It matches the Rfam family "Bacterial small subunit ribosomal RNA", at positions 338 to 795 of the family's 1533-position model. The record is from RNAcentral.